GGUGCAAGCGUUAAUCGGAAUUACUGGGCGUAAAGCGUGCGCAGGCGGUUAUGUAAGACAGAUGUGAAAUCCCCGGGCUCAACCUGGGAACUGCAUCUGUGACUGCAUAGCUUGAGUACGGUAGAGGGGGAUGGAAUUCCGCGUGUAGCAGUGAAAUGCGUAGAUAUGCGGAGGAACACCGAUGGCGAAGGCAAUCCCCUGGACCUGUACUGACGCUCAUGCACGAAAGCGUGGGGAGCAAACAGGAUUAGAUACCCUGGUAGUCCACGCCCUAAACGAUGUCAACUGGUUGUUGGGUCUUCACUGACUCAGUAACGAAGCUAACGCGUGAAGUUGACCGCCUGGGGA
RNAcentral lists this ribosomal RNA (348 nucleotides) under uncultured bacterium. Its description in RNAcentral is "bacterial SSU rRNA". It matches the Rfam family "Bacterial small subunit ribosomal RNA", at positions 531 to 879 of the family's 1533-position model. The record is from RNAcentral.